This is a long non-coding RNA of Wyeomyia smithii (pitcher-plant mosquito), 1790 nucleotides long. RefSeq lists it as uncharacterized. The record is from RefSeq and is a predicted model, not a curated record. Lineage: Eukaryota; Metazoa; Arthropoda; Insecta; Diptera; Culicidae. The transcript is spliced from 2 exons.
AGACAACUUUCAAGUAGUUCUCUCGCCGAACUUUGGAUCUCGACACCUAUCCGCAAGAAAUAUUUGAAAUAGUUGACAAUGUAUCGAUAAAUUGAAAGCGUACAAAAAUUGGGGAUAGAACAACUUAUAGAAACUAACAUGUAACAAACGAACUUUGUACGCACACCAGAGAUGCCAGAUGUUUUUGAAAAAUGUCUGCAACUGCUCGAAAAACCGGAAAAAUGUGCUCGAAAUCUGAAAAAAAUCUAUCCGUGAUCCGAAAAAAUUUCGCUCGCGCAGGCAAAAGUCUGUAAAAAUCUGCACACAUUUUAAGAAAAUCUGCGCAAAUAUAAGGAGACUUUGACAAAAAUCUGCAGAAACCGUGGAAAAACUGCAAAUAUCUGCAAAUCAAUAAAUAUCUGCACACGGACUUCAAAAAUCUGCGUUUUGCAGACAAAUCUGCACAUUUGGUAUCACUGGAUCGGAGAUCGAUGACAUGAUGAGAGGUAACAGUUGUCAAAUAAACGUAAGCGGAAUGUUGGAGCAAAGCAGAUUCGAAAAAAAAGAAAUAUGGCUGAUAGUGAAAAUUUUAAAUUCAGGAUAACAAACAUGACAUGCAUACCUCAUCUGUUCCUUCUUUUCCCUCUUCUAUCUGGAACUAUCAUAACUGUUACCUCGACUAUCCCCUAUAUUCAACACUUUGUUUUGGUAUCCGGCAUUCUUAAACAGGAUUCAUCCGACUUCUGUUGGUUAUUAUUCUCAAAUUUAUAUUUCUAUGAAAAGUAAUUACUCACUGAAGACUUGGCCCUACCCAACAAACAAUUUUGUUGAAUACCACGGCUUAGCCAUAGUUCGCCCAAAAUCCACUUAACAAUAGGGGUCUUCACAUCGAGCUCGUAUACAAAUACUCAGCCGUAAACUGUGUAUCUUCCAUUACUCGUCAAUGGAGGUGAGUAUUUUUACGGCUGGGUAUUUGUAUACGAGCUCGACAUGAAUACCCAUAAUAGUUUGAUAUGCUGUAAAUCAACAAAACUGUUUGCUGGGUACGGUUCUUCUCUGCGCCCAAAAACAAAAACGAACCAAUAUCAUCAGCAUAACAAGCUUCUAACAAAACCUUAUAUUGUUUUACCUUAAUUUAAACAAACAUUGUACUUCAAGUACAAAUACUUUGUAGAAAGAAUAUUGUUUUUGUACGAUUAGCAUCAUAGUUGAAAAAAAUCUGGGAAGAGCAGAUAAGAUUCACGCUCGAUAUUUACUAUCCCAAGUAACUAAAUUUUUUUAGUGCUAAAUAGAACCAAAACAUAAAACCUUCAAUGCCGACCACGCGACUAUAACAACCUAUUAACAACAGCUAUAUACAUGUGUCAUGGCUAGUUGGCCCAGGUUUAUUGCAGUCAUCAAAACUUCAUAUGCGCUCCAUCAUAGGACCAGAUGUUUUUAGCAGGCCGAUUUGCUCGCCAUAGAAUGGCCACUAAAUUUUAACUGAGAUAUAUUCUCCAUAUUAAGCGUGAAGUAAUGAAGUUUAUCUUGGUUUCAUCCCUCAAUGACAACAUUAUAUUCGGACAGUGUCGUGAAAACCGAAAUGUGUUAGUUUUCUUACUAUAUUGAUUGAUUAUUAUUGUCAUUUGAAUCGUUUUCGUGCAUGUAAAAACACAUGCCGUGAAAUAUUUAUGGUAAAACCGGCCACGAAUUUUACCGUAAUUACCGCUCGCCGCCGUAAUUCUGUAGAAAAUGACUAUUUAAUCAAAAUUUAAUUCCUCUCAACUAAGGCGAUAAUUGAAUAAAUGCCAUAAUUUGUCAUUUUAUAUUAA